This 497-nucleotide ribosomal RNA is filed under the name uncultured bacterium. Its description in RNAcentral is "partial 16S ribosomal RNA". It matches the Rfam family "Bacterial small subunit ribosomal RNA", at positions 28 to 507 of the family's 1533-position model. The record is from RNAcentral.
GAUGAACGCUGGCGGCGUGCCUAAUACAUGCAAGUCGAGCGAACGGACGAGAAGCUUGCUUUUCUGAUGUUAGCGGCGGACGGGUGAGUAACACGUGGAUAACCUACCUAUAAGACUGGGAUAACUUCGGGAAACCGGAGCUAAUACCGGAUAAUAUUUUGAACCGCAUGGUUCAAAAGUGAAAGACGGUCUUGCUGUCACUUAUAGAUGGAUCCGCGCUGCAUUAGCUAGUUGGUAAGGUAACGGCUUACCAAGGCAACGAUGCAUAGCCGACCUGAGAGGGUGAUCGGCCACACUGGAACUGAGACACGGUCCAGACUCCUACGGGAGGCAGCAGUAGGGAAUCUUCCGCAAUGGGCGAAAGCCUGACGGAGCAACGCCGCGUGAGUGAUGAAGGUCUUCGGAUCGUAAAACUCUGUUAUUAGGGAAGAACAUAUGUGUAAGUAACUGUGCACAUCUUGACGGUACCUAAUCAGAAAGCCACGGCUAACUACAUG